GACGAACGCUGGCGGCGUGCCUAAUACAUGCAAGUAGAACGCACAGUUUAUACCGUAGCUUGCUACACCAUAGACUGUGAGUUGCGAACGGGUGAGUAACGCGUAGGUAACCUGCCUGGUAGCGGGGGAUAACUAUUGGAAACGAUAGCUAAUACCGCAUAAUAUUAAUUAUUGCAUGGUAAUUAAUUGAAAGGUGCAAUUGCACCACUACCAGAUGGACCUGCGUUGUAUUAGCUAGUAGGUGAGGUAACGGCUCACCUAGGCGACGAUACAUAGCCGACCUGAGAGGGUGAUCCGCCAAACUGGGACUGAGACACGGCCCAGACUCCUACGGGAGGCAGCAGUAGGGAAUCUUCGGCAAUAGACGGAAGUCUGACCGAGCAACGCCGCGUGAGUGAAGAAGGGUUUCGGAUCGUAAAGCUCUGUUGUAAGAGAAGAACAGGUGUGAGAGUGGAAAGUUCACACUGUGACGGUACCUUACCAGAAAGGGACGGCUAACUACGUG
Molecule: ribosomal RNA, 505 nt
Filed under: uncultured bacterium
Lineage: Bacteria
Description: partial 16S ribosomal RNA
Rfam family: Bacterial small subunit ribosomal RNA
Source: RNAcentral